GCUGGGUGUGGUGGUGCGCACCUGUAAUCCCAGCUACUCAGGAAGCUGAGGCAGGAGAAUCACUUGAACCUGGGAGGUGGAGGUUGCAGUGAGCUGAGAUCAUGCCACUGCACUCCAGCCUGGGUGACAGAGCGAGACUCUGUCUCCA
Non-coding RNA from Gorilla gorilla gorilla (western lowland gorilla), 148 nucleotides. It matches the Rfam family "Metazoan signal recognition particle RNA". From Rfam's summary of the family: The signal recognition particle (SRP) is a universally conserved ribonucleoprotein. It is involved in the co-translational targeting of proteins to membranes. The eukaryotic SRP consists of a 300-nucleotide 7S RNA and six proteins: SRPs 72, 68, 54, 19, 14, and 9. NCBI's taxonomy places the organism in Eukaryota, Metazoa, Chordata, Mammalia, Primates, Hominidae. The record is from Rfam.